GCCCGCCUAGCUCAGCCGGAUAGAGCGUCAGACUCUUAUGGCAGAUACAUCCAUUUUAGGUAAUCUGAAGGCUGCGAGUUGGUGGGCU
Molecule: non-coding RNA, 88 nt
Organism: Marasmius sp. AFHP31
Lineage: Eukaryota; Fungi; Basidiomycota; Agaricomycetes; Agaricales; Marasmiaceae
Source: the annotation of a GenBank genome assembly